CCUACGGGUGGCAGCAGUGGGGAAUAUUGCACAAUGGGGGAAACCCUGAUGCAGCGACGCCGCGUGAGUGAAGAAGGAUUUCUGUAUGUAAAGCUCUAUCAGCAGGGAAGAAAAUGACGGUACCUGAAUAAGAAGCCACGGCUAACUACGUGACAGCAGCCGCGGUAAUACGUAGGGGGCAAGCGUUAUCCGGAUUUACUGGGUGUAAAGGGAGCGUAGACGGCAGCACAAGUCUGGAGUGAAAUGCCGGGGCUUAACCCCGGAACUGCCUUUGAAACUGUGCAGCGAGAGUGCAGGAGAGGUAAGUUGAAUUCCUAGUGUAGCGGUGCACUGCGUAGAUAUUAGGCGGAACACCAGUGGCGAAGGCGGCUUACUGGACUGUAACUGACGUUGAGGCUCGAACGCGUGGGGAGCAAACAGGAUUAGAUACCCUAGUAGUC
RNAcentral lists this ribosomal RNA (440 nucleotides) under uncultured bacterium. RNAcentral's name for it is "partial 16S ribosomal RNA". It matches the Rfam family "Bacterial small subunit ribosomal RNA", at positions 338 to 795 of the family's 1533-position model. The record is from RNAcentral.